Long non-coding RNA from Gossypium raimondii (Peruvian cotton), 1191 nucleotides. RefSeq lists it as uncharacterized. The transcript has 2 exons. NCBI's taxonomy places the organism in Eukaryota, Viridiplantae, Streptophyta, Magnoliopsida, Malvales, Malvaceae. The record is from RefSeq and is a predicted model, not a curated record.
GCACUUUAAAUUUUAUUAUAUUUAUUUAUAUAUUAAAAUUAACAUUAAAAUUGAUGUAAUAUAAUGGCGAGUAUUUUAAUUAUAUUUUGAUAAAAAAUAUUAAAUAAAGUAUAUUGUGAUUUGGUAACAAUGAUUUAACACUAGACGACUUUAGAAAAAGAUAUCUAAAUUGAAAACUAAGAUAUACAAUUAUUAAAUUUGUAUUUUCUAUCAGUAUUUUAUUAUUUAUCAUGUUACUUUUCACUUGAAUAAUUGUAACAGGCUAAUUUUGGCCGGGCCCAAUAUUAACCAAAUUAAAAAGAGAAACCAAAUAAAAAAUUAAUAAUAGUCCAGUUACAUCAGCCUAAAUUUGCCCAGCCCAAUAAACCAAACCCAUUUACGGUGGCCCAGUAUAAACCUUGGCCCUAACAGAAACCCUAGCCUCUCUUUAGCCAAACAGAUCGCGCCGGUCCUCCGUCAGCUUCUCCACGAGCGCCGCGCCUUCCACGCACCUCCAGCUGGCCGAACCUGUAACGAACAGAAACAAACAGUAGCAACAAAUGCGAAUAACAACAAAGGGCAAUAUUCUAGGAAAAAAUAAUAGCAGAAUAAGAGAAUAGAUUUUUGAAUAUUUUUCAUUUUUUUUCUCUUCGUUGCAGCUAUAUAAAGCCGAGUACAAAACUGUAAAGGGGGGAUCAAAAGAAAACGGAAAGAAAUAAAAAAAAUCAGGAUAUUUUUCGAAGAAAAGAGGUGUUGAUUCACGUUCAGUUGCUAAAUAGAGAGCUUGUCAUGGAAAAUUGAUUUCUUGAUAAAGUGAAAAAUAAUACGGCUGUCCGAAUAUGUUCCGAGAAAACACAACAAGAGAAGGGUGAUAGUUUAAUGGAGGAGUACACGACUUUACUUCGUUGCCCGAGGAUUCAAGUUGACAAAGAUUAUUCAAGAGUCGUCAACGUCUAGACCUUUUUAAAGAAGCUAACGAGCUUCACAAGGAUGGGUGAACGAUAGGUUGCGACUCGGAUCAAGUAAAAAGCAGGCGUCCCUUGGAGGAAUUCACGAGAUUUAUCUUAGCAUCCGGAUGAAGAAAAGGAUCGAUGUUUUCUCCUGGAGUAUGAAGGCGAGGCCGUGCAUGUGUCCGUUUUAUGUAAAGAAAUUUGUUUUCUAGUAAAGUUUUCUAAAUGAAACUGAAUCGGAAUCAACGUCUUUUUGCAUUCA